This is a non-coding RNA of Erinaceus europaeus (western European hedgehog), 195 nucleotides long. The record is from Rfam. Lineage: Eukaryota; Metazoa; Chordata; Mammalia; Eulipotyphla; Erinaceidae.
AUCGCUUCUCGGCCUUUUGGCUAAGAUCAAGUGUAGUGUGUGUCUAGGUAAGUUCUUUAAAUUGAACAGAAGCCAGAUGUAUGAGUUGCUUGGCUACAUGAAGUCAGACAGUACAGAGUCCCACCUAGUGCCUGGCUAAGACUCAUCACCGCCUUUUAGGAAACUUGUCAUUUUAUUUUAAGAAAAGGAGCCACU